GAAGAAGAGGCACAUCCUGGAACAAGGUUACACUGUUGAUAGUUACGCAAGAGGGAAAAUUAUGCAUGUUUUGUUUACUUUCUCUAUCGAAUACAGAUUGCCCCGUCUACAAUUUGAUCGAUUAUUAACGUUUAAAAAUACCUAAAGUUGUAGUACAAAAGUAGUUUGAAAUAUUUUGGCAAAGUUUAUAGGCAACUUUUGAAAUGUUUUGUAGUGACGUUGUGUUUUGGAAAGCUGUUUUUUUCCAGAUCAAACCUGCUUUAUAAAUGGACAUGUUGGGUAUACAUGGACGGAAUUAAUCGAAAAAAAAAGGACCAAUUGUGAUGUUUAUGGGACAUAUUGGAGUGCCAACAAAGAAGCUCGUCAAAGCAGUAGCUGUAAACGUGCGUGGCCUAGGAACGGACGGACAAUCUCUUCAGAACGACAGGGUACUACAACGUAUCCAUUCUACCACACGACGAC
This is a long non-coding RNA of Oncorhynchus tshawytscha (Chinook salmon), 462 nucleotides long. The record is from Ensembl. Lineage: Eukaryota; Metazoa; Chordata; Actinopteri; Salmoniformes; Salmonidae.